UAGAAUAAAACCAAUUUUAAUAUAAAUUAUAUUUUAAUAAUAUAUAUGCAUAAGGGUAGUUAAAUUAAAUAUUAUGGAAAAAUUUCAAACAAUAUGAUAAUAUAGAAUAUAUUAAAAUAAUAACUAUAUAAUUAAACAAAUAAGGAAAAAAACAAAAUGUAGGUGAAAUACUAGAUUGAAAUGAAGUAAAAAAUGAUUAGAGCAAUUCAAAAUAUAUAUUUAAAUAAUUUUUUAAAGAAAUGAAUAUUAAUAUAUAUAUUGAGAUGAAAGAAAAACUUAAUUGAAGUAAAAUCAAACUUAAAAAGAUAAUUAAUACAUAAAAAACUAUUGAAAUAAUGACUAAAUCACAGUACGCGCGAACGAUCAGGGAUCAAAACUGAAAAUAAUCCAGAUCCCAAAACAUGGCGCCUAGGUGCGUACCUAAUCGCAAAGACACGCAAAUUCUAGGGAAAAAUUGAAAUAAAAUAAAAUGUAAAUAAGGACCAACGAAAAGUCUACGCAAAGACGAAGGACUUGACGCACAAAUUUACCAUCCGAAAUGCCAAGGCGCGGAUCCAGCCUAUGGAUCGGGCUUGCGCGCAGAUCUCCUCCCCCUCUACACGUCACCGUUUUAGUUAAUUCCUAACUAAAAGAAAUUAAAUGGCAAUAUGCCAAUUCCUUCAAACAACCGAAGUAAAUCCCUAACUUUCUCCCCUUCUAACCAUCGGUUCAUCUCCGCAUAAUGGUGCUCUCAAGCUUGGAGGAACCUUUCAGCCUUGGAAUCUCUUUUGAUUCGAUUUCAAUGAAGCAAAGAGAAGAAAUCCAUGGCAUAUUCGCACGGUAAGGUUUUUCUUUUAUUUUGUUUUCCUUUUUUUCUGUUUUAAAUGCGAAAAAAACCAAAAGACCAAAAGAAGAAAUCGAAAAGAAAAUUAAAAGCCUCAAGAAAUUUGAAUUAGAAAAUCACCUUUUAAUUUCGGUAACCUUUUUAUUUCAGUAUGCGUGUGUAUUUCUGGGAAAAAGAUCCCCUUUACAUUCAAUUUCAUUCGGUCUUUAUAGCCGAAAAAUAAAAAUAAAAUAAAUAAAAAAUAAAAAUUUCCUUGCUGUAAUUUGUUGUUUUCUCCUUUUGUUUGUUAGUUUGUUGCAGGUGUGCAUGGUGUGGAGUAACAGAGAUCGUGACGUGAAGAUUGGUUCCAUUGUGAAGUUGCAGCGCACAUGAGCUUGGUGGCUUAGGGUUUCCUGAGAGUAUUUUGUUUUGGGCUGGGAUUUGGGUUAGGAGUUUAUUUUACUUUGGGCUAAUAAUUUGCUUGUAAGUGGGCUAGAUAAUUGGACUUGUAACAGGGACAUUGGACUUGAUUAUUUUAGUUUUAUUAUUUUUGCUUUAUUUUUGGUUUUGGUUCUAGUGUAAGCCUGGGCAGAUUGGGCCUGUACACGAACUAUGACUACUUUUCCUUUUGUUUUACAUAAUUGUUUUAGAUUUUCUUGUCGGUAUGUUAAACCGUUAUUUUUGGGAUGUUAGUCGAUGGAUGUAGUGAGAAAUCGCCACUUUCUGAUGUACUGUUGAUAGGGAAAGGCUUAGGGAUUGUUUCGGUGGCUUAAGCGUUGAUUUUUGGGUUGUUUUGGGGUGGUUUCGUGACUGCCUCGACUGCCACACAGGCAUGUGCUGAGGCACACGGCCGUGUGGAUUUGGAUAUUAGGGUUUCAGGCUAGUUAUGGGUGUCACACGGUCGGGCCACACAGGCGUGUGAUCGAUUUGGGGAUUUUUGUCAGAAACCACACGGGCGUGUGAGUUUGGUAAUUAAGGAUUUGAAAUUUGGGGUCACACGGCCUGGCCACACGACCGUGUGACUGAUUUGGGAAUUUUAGGGUUCUUACACGGGCUUUUGUUUUGAAACACACGGCGUGUAGCCAAUUUGGGGCCUAAGGAUUCCACACGGGUUUGUGACACCUUCACACGGUCAUGUCUACUCUGCAGUUGAAUUUAGCGAAAUUGGACAGUGUCUUAUACGGCCUGAUCGCACGGUCGUGCCUCUGCACUACAUGGGCGUGUGCCUCUGCGACACGGCCAUGUGCUACCCCUCACACGGGCAUAUGGACCCCGAUACGGCUUGCCUAGCUCCACACGGCCGAAGUAGAGGUGUGCAUGGGACGGGCCGGGUCGAGUUCAGGCCGGGCCCACAAAAAAAUUUAGGCCUGACCCGACUCGAAAUAUGGGCCUGGAUAUUUGCCCAAGACCGA
This 2214-nucleotide long non-coding RNA is filed under the name Gossypium barbadense (sea-island cotton). RNAcentral describes it as "long non-coding RNA (GBAR_LNC010145)". The record is from RNAcentral. Lineage: Eukaryota; Viridiplantae; Streptophyta; Magnoliopsida; Malvales; Malvaceae.